UUUAUCGGAGAGUUUGAUCCUGGCUCAGGACGAACGCUGGCGGCGUGCCUAAUACAUGCAAGUCGAGCGGRCAGAUGGGAGCUUGCUCCCUGAUGUUAGCGGCGGACGGGUGAGUAACACGUGGGUAACCUGCCUGUAAGACUGGGAUAACUCCGGGAAACCGGGGCUAAUACCGGAUGCUUGUUUGAACCGCAUGAUUCAAACAUAAAAGGUGGCUUCGGCUACCACUUACAGAUGGACCCGCGGCGCAUUAGCUAGUUGGUGAGGUAACGGCUCACCAAGGCAACGAUGCGUAGCCGACCUGAGAGGGUGAUCGGCCACACUGGGACUGAGACACGGCCCAGACUCCUACGGGAGGCAGCAGUAGGGAAUCUUCCGCAAUGGACGAAAGUCUGACGGAGCAACGCCGCGUGAGUGAUGAAGGUUUUCGGAUCGUAAAGCUCUGUUGUUAGGGAAGAACAAGUACCGUUCGAAUA
This 476-nucleotide ribosomal RNA is filed under the name Bacillus subtilis. RNAcentral's name for it is "bacterial SSU rRNA". It matches the Rfam family "Bacterial small subunit ribosomal RNA", at positions 1 to 466 of the family's 1533-position model. Lineage: Bacteria; Bacillati; Bacillota; Bacilli; Caryophanales; Bacillaceae. The record is from RNAcentral.